UUUCCCUGAUAUUCUACGUAGAGAGAGAGAGAGGGAGAGCGAGAGAGGGGGAGAGAAAAGGAGGAGGAGGUCACGGCAAAGGGGAGGGAGGAAGGAGAGGUCCGUUUUCGACGAUCCAACUCGGUGACAAGUAACGAGCCGGUCUUUUAGGAGGUGCCGAAACCGUAAGUUUGGCAUACUCCAGUCGAAUGAAAGGUGAGUGUGUCUGAUAUGGUUCUUCUCAAUAAGAUAUUGCUAUGGUGGUAUGUAUAUAUCUUGCUAAUGGUAUUUUAGCUUUCAAUAUGAUUAUCGAUAUGUAAAUAAUGUGGUGGAGGUGAUUAUAUAUCAAUGAUAUCAUGCUAAUCGAGGUUUAGCUAUUGAUAUGGAUAUAUGUGGUCGAAAUUUUAUAUCAUGCUAUAUAUUGUUUUAGCUAAUGGUAUGCAUGCUUGUUGUAUGUUGAUUGUACCUGCGAAAGGAUUGUGGAGUGAGUCACGCCAUGUCGUAUGCCAUUCCGUCUAAUUAACGGAGGUUGGGAGCAUGGUUUGCGGGACACAAUGCCUUGGGUACAUGGGAAUGUGGCAGACGUGUCACUGCAUGCUUGUGUGAUUUACAUUCAGGCUGUCGUUAAUUCAGUUAUUGUUACGUGGUUGUUUAUUGGAUAAUAUUGCUAUGUUUGGCGGAUGUGGUGGUUAUAACUAAUAUACUCAUAUGGGUAUUGCAGUUAUGUUGGUGGUGAAUAUUCUGAUUGAUAUUCUUAUGGGUAUUGUGAUAUUUUAUUGAGCAUUUCUAUAUCUCACACACUCUGGCUUUCCUUUUUGGUCUGCCAGGUAGUAGGUUCCUUAGAGUGGUUCCACUACCGGUCGACGUGUUGAGGUGCACUCGAGUAUUAGCUUUGGGAGGUGUUGGUGGUCGAGCGUGCUGUAGGUAGUUAUUGAAGGAAUUGAUUUUUAUAAGUUGUAGUUUAGUCAUUGGUAAAUAUGUUGAAGUAUAGAACUUAAUAAGUCUUGUAGUAGUGGUUAUGGUUUUAGCUAUGCAGGCUUGUGAUUGGUUGAUCGGUGCGUUGACUCAUUUCUGUUUUAUUGUGAGAAGUCUUCCGCUAGGUUGUAUUCUGAUUGGUUGUAGAGUGUAGUGUGGUUUUUUGUGUGGAAUGCCACGUGGCCACGCCGACUCGGGCCUACUUUGGGUGUCGUUUGCGGGGCGGGGCGUGACAUCCUUGAAGCAAAGCAUAAUGCUAAGAGCACUAGUGUUAGUGUGACUUCUCAAGACCAUGGUGAGCCACAAGGUUUGCUGGCUGAGUGCAUAAAAACUCUUAAUGCCAUGAAAGACCUAGAUGGAGCAUCGUAUACGAAAGGGAUGAAACUACUGAAGGAUGACCCUUCAUGGAGACCAAUAUUCCUUGGCAUGUCAGAGCAAAGGAAGAAGGACUUCAUUUCAUAUGUGUGAACUUUUGUUUAUGGUUGGUUUGGUUUAGGACAUGGUUAUGUAGUUGGUUUGUAAGCUUUUGUGGAUUGUAAGACUUAUGUGGUUGGUUUGUUUUCUCUUCUUGUUGGACAACUAUUUGGAUAUGGAACUUUUGUGGUUUAUUUUCUUGUUGGACUACUGUUAAUGGGCAAUCUUUAUGAUGUCACUGGGCAAUCUUCUUUUUCAGCAGUUUUUAGUACUUUGUUGGCCUUUUUGCAGUAUACAAUUCUAUCCCUAUAUUUAUCUCCCUUCUUUGUUUCAAUUAUGUUCUACACAAGAUUAUAUGUGGCUAAUGUAACAUUUCAUUGAAGGUAAUGGAAGUAUCUAAUGCUCGAAAGGAUGUCGUUGCUGACUCAGAUGACAUGGUCUUUGAAGAAGGCCAAUCAUCAGAGUCUGUCAACAAUAUAUGCAAGUCUGUCGGCCAUGUACAUGACUAUGAAAGCUCAAACACAAUCUCUCUCAAGUUGGGUGUUCAAAUUCUAUAGCAAGGAAGAUUUGAUUGUUGAAAGUGAGCAAGGCCGUAGGAGCUCUUCUCAACAGAUUAAUGUCACCCCCGCUCAAUUGCGAGAAAUGGCUAGAGUUCGCAAUACUAUUGCCCGCCAAAUCUUUAAUAGCCAAAGGCUUUGAUGCAUUGGUAGUGAAGCAUCCAUUGCAGUAGUGGUAAGAGACUCCAAAGGCAGAAUUGUCCAUUGGCAGAAUUGAUAGCAUUUUACAAGGAUGUUUUGACAGCUCUUGUUUCUUUGUCAGAAUUCAUGUUUUUGUACUUUCCUUACUUGCUUUUAUGAGACUAUGAGAGUGAUUGGAGUGGUUUGAUUUUCA
Rhododendron vialii is the source of this 2259-nucleotide long non-coding RNA. RefSeq lists it as uncharacterized. Lineage: Eukaryota; Viridiplantae; Streptophyta; Magnoliopsida; Ericales; Ericaceae. The transcript has 3 exons. The record is from RefSeq and is a predicted model, not a curated record.